Oryctolagus cuniculus (rabbit) is the source of this 1543-nucleotide non-coding RNA. NCBI's taxonomy places the organism in Eukaryota, Metazoa, Chordata, Mammalia, Lagomorpha, Leporidae. The record is from RefSeq and is a predicted model, not a curated record.
UGAGUUCCCCACCCGCCGCGGCCACCCCAGUCGCGGUGGCUGCUUUGUCCAGGGGCUGAGCAGACGAGCGCGAGGACACAGCGAGGCCUUCGAAGGGUCACCCGCGCGGUCACUGCCCCAAGCUGCGGGCGGCAGGGAGCGGCCGACCGGCCCUAACCGGCCGCGGGGUCGCUGGCUGCUGAGAGAUGGCGGAGUGGGAGCUCUUAGGGUUGAGAAAUACCCUUGAGUCAUCUAAUCAGGCCUUUGAGGUCGGGUGUGACAUUCUCCAGUUAACCUGAAUUGCCGGGGUGCAGCCCUUAACACAGUGACCGAAGGAAAUGACUCCAAGGAAUAAAUAGAAAGAGCUCCCCUACUUAAAAACUCAAAGGAGAAAUCAAAUGGACACUACCUCAACCAAGUGAUCAAGGUCAACAUCAACCACCACUAUCUCAGCUAGCCGAUCAAGGUCAAUGCCAAAGCUGAGAGCAUCUUAAAGCUUGAGAAAGUCACAGCGAGAAGGGUCAUGGUGAUGGCGUGUACCUUUGAUAGCACGUGAUAAGAAUGGUCCUGCACCUCUGUGGUCUUCCAUCUGAAACCCAAAGCCCACUGUGUGAUCCUGAGAAAAGUAUCAGCCAAAUAUCAACACAGGAAUAUUCCAGAAAAUGCCAGACCAGUACUCAAAACUAUCAAGGUCAUUAAAGACAAAGAAAAAUUGAGAAACAGCUAAGAAGAACCCAAGGAGAUGCGACAACUUUAUCCGGAAUGGGAUCCCGGGAUAGAAAAAGGACAUUAGCUGGAAAACUAAGGAAAUCUGACUCAGCACGUACUUGAUAAAUUGAUAUUGGCUCAUUGUGACUAAUGUUCCACUGGUGUGGAGUAUCUGGCACCUCUCUUGAACUUCUUUGUAAUUUUUCUGCAUGUCUAAAAUUAUUCUCAAACGAUUUAAUGAAAACUUUCAUGAACAUUUAAACAUUAUCUUUUAUUAUCUUUUUCUUUCCAUAUUUUCAUGGUAAAAUUCUUAAAGAAAAUCAUACUACUAUUGGGCUGGCACUGCAGCUCACUUGGGUAAUCCUCCACUUGCAGUGCCGGCACCCCAGGUUCUAGUCCUGGUUGGGGCACUGGAUUCUGUCCCGGUUGCUCCUAUUCCAGUCCAGCUCUCUGCUGUGGCCCGGGAAGGCAGUGGAGGAUGGUCCAGGUCCUUGGGCCCUGUACCUGCAUGGGAGACCAGGAGGAAGCACCUGGCUCCUGGCUUCAGAUCGGCGCAGCGCGCUGGCCAUAGCGGCCAUUUCGGGGGUGAACCAACGGAGGGAAGACCUUUCUCUCUGUCUCUCUCUAACUCUGCAUGUCAAGAAAAAAAAAAAAAAGAAAAGAAAAAAAAGAAAAUCAUACUACCAUAAUAUUAAAGAGAAUUUUUCUAAUGGUGUCUUAUAACUUAGUUUUAGCUCUAUCACCCAUUUAUAUAUUUGGUAAAGUAACUUGAUAUUUAUAUUAUUCCUAUCCUUGAGUAUGUCAUUUUCUUUCCUUUGGAAGAAUAAAGUUUUCAAUAAUUUCUCUUAAACUUUAA